This 278-nucleotide ribosomal RNA is filed under the name uncultured bacterium. Its description in RNAcentral is "partial 16S ribosomal RNA". It matches the Rfam family "Bacterial small subunit ribosomal RNA", at positions 76 to 354 of the family's 1533-position model. The record is from RNAcentral.
UUGCAAACUGGAGAUGGCGACCGGCGCACGGGUGAGUAACACGUAUCCAACCUGCCGAUAACUCGGGGAUAGCCUUUCGAAAGAAAGAUUAAUACCCGAUGGCAUAAUAGAACCGCAUGGUUUGAUUAUUAAAGAAUUUCGGUUAUCGAUGGGGAUGCGUUCCAUUAGGCAGUUGGUGGGGUAACGGCCCACCAAACCUUCGAUGGAUAGGGGUUCUGAGAGGAAGGUCCCCCACAUUGGAACUGAGACACGGUCCAAACUCCUACGGGAGGCAGCUG